AACUGGGGGUGCAAGCGUUAUCCGGAAUCACUGGGUUUAAAGGGUGCGUAGGCGGCUAUAUAAGUCAGAGGUGAAAGUUUGUCGCUUAACGAUAGAACUGCCUUUGAUACUGUUAAGCUUGAAAGUAGGUGAGGGUGGCGGAAUUUGACCUGUAGCGGUGAAAUGCAUAGAUAUGUCAUAGAACACCGAUUGCGAAGGCAGCCGGCUAAGCUGACUUUGACGCUGAGGCACGAAAGCGUGGGUAGCGAACAGG
RNAcentral lists this ribosomal RNA (253 nucleotides) under uncultured bacterium. RNAcentral's name for it is "partial 16S ribosomal RNA". It matches the Rfam family "Bacterial small subunit ribosomal RNA", at positions 524 to 776 of the family's 1533-position model. The record is from RNAcentral.